UACGGAGGGGGCUAGCGUUGGUCGGAAUUACUGGGCGUAAAGCGCACGUAGGCGGCUUUGUAAGUUAGAGGUGAAAGCCCGGAGCUCAACUCCGGAACUGCCUUUAAGACUGCAUCGCUCGAACGUCGGAGAGGUAAGUGGAAUUCCGAGUGUAGAGGUGAAAUUCGUAGAUAUUCGGAAGAACACCAGUGGCGAAGGCGACUUACUGGACGACUGUUGACGCUGAGGUGCGAAAGCGUGGGGAGCAAACAGG
This 253-nucleotide ribosomal RNA is filed under the name uncultured bacterium. RNAcentral's name for it is "partial 16S ribosomal RNA". It matches the Rfam family "Bacterial small subunit ribosomal RNA", at positions 524 to 776 of the family's 1533-position model. The record is from RNAcentral.